RNAcentral lists this ribosomal RNA (273 nucleotides) under uncultured bacterium. RNAcentral's name for it is "partial 16S ribosomal RNA". It matches the Rfam family "Bacterial small subunit ribosomal RNA", at positions 524 to 796 of the family's 1533-position model. The record is from RNAcentral.
UACAGAGGUCCCAAGCGUUGUUCGGAUUCACUGGGCGUAAAGGGUGCGUAGGCGGUCGGGUAAGUCUGAUGUGAAAUCUCCGAGCUCAACUCGGAAAUGGCAUUGGAUACUAUUCGGCUAGAGGAGUGGAGGGGGGACUGGAAUACUUGGUGUAGCAGUGAAAUGCGUAGAUAUCAAGUGGAACACCAGUGGCGAAGGCGAGUCCCUGGACAUUUCCUGACGCUGAGGCACGAAAGCUAGGGGAGCAAACAGGAUUAGAAACCCCAGUAGUCC